GCGCCACUCUCCUUCAGAGCAGGGACAUUUUCAGUCUGUUGUUUCUUUCACGACGGUGGGGCUGCUAGUCUCGAGGCUGCAUGGAGCGUCUCGUGGAGCAACAAGAAUCACUUUAAGACGCGCAAGGCAAAAGGAUGCGCGAAAACCUGGGCUGCGUCAUCAACGGGAGUGAUGCAACGUCCUCACCUGACCAAUAAGAAACGUCUACCGGAUUUUAGAAGCUGCACAAAACGCCUUUAACUUCACAAGGGAGAUGAUGUGGAGAAGGAAGAAUCGGUCCUUCAGUGAUCAAACCUCCUCAUGCUAUAAACAGACGGAGAUAUGUGGUGUCCAGGAACGGGGCUCGACGGCUGACAGAAAAUACCACAGCAACACCUUCAGUUUAGUUAAUGUAGAAUACAUGACAAAGAGUGUAUUGUUUAGAAGUUAUCAGAAUAAUACAAACCGUUGUGAAUUUGUAAACAUAGGACCUGAGAGUCCCACAAUUUAAAGUAAAAUAAUUGCUAAAAAUUGAGUCAUUUCACUCUGCGUAACUUUAGACAAUUUUACAUUUCGUUUUAUUUUAAGGGUCCUUCUUCGCUGUUUCAUAAUACUGUAGGACUACAGCCUAUGCCAAAUAAUAAACGAUUCAUCAACGUUCGAACUAAUUUGCACACUAAGAACAAUAAUUGUCCCUUAAUAAAAUAUAAUAUCUCAUUACGCCCCGGCCGCAGAAGAGUUAUGGGCAUUUGGUUUAUAUCGGGCAGCUGUCGAAAAAGGAGAAAAACAACUUUCUAACUUUUUCUACAUUUCAUGUAAAUUACGUUCUCUUAGGCACUUCAUCGGCCUGCUAAUCUCAGAGCUUAUAUGGGUAUUCCAAAGAGUUUUAUAGCCUAGCUAUAGUCACAUGAAUCAGUAAUAGGCUGUCAAUCUCCACAUUUUUUUUAUUAAUGGCAUGUGGGCCUAUGUAACUAUACAUAAUAUAAUACUAUAUACAUAUUACAAGUAAAACCAUUGCCGACACAGUUAUCCUAUUGUGCUGAGGAAUCUAAAGAGACUACAGAAUUCACGCCAAAUCAUGUCAUCCAAUCAUAUUCCUCAUUUACCGAUGACGGUCGGAAUUUAGGUGAACUUAAAGCAAACCCCCCGGGAAUAUUAUUAGUAAUUACACUUUAAUUGGCAUCGCCCGGGAUUCUUUAUACAUAACUUGCUAUAUUUUAAGCUGCAUGCUGUAUUUUAAUAUAGCCUAAUAUUUCAUGGUUACUAUGUUAUUUGAAACCAAUUCAUAUGCACGAGGCUAUCAUGUCUAUUUAUGAUAAAAGAGAAGGUAAACCAUUACAAAAUAUUAUAAAGUAUUUUUAGACGAGGUACUUACUCUUGAAAACUAUAGGUCUACUGAAACGAUAUGAUAUAGUUUUAAUAAAAACUAGAAAUUAGCGGGUUAUUUAGAUGUAAUAUGCUGUUCUUGCUUGUUUAAUGAUAAAGCAUACGAUUUCUCAUAUGCACCGAAUAAAAGUAGUCUAUCAACAUUAA
Molecule: long non-coding RNA, 1512 nt
Organism: Esox lucius (northern pike)
Lineage: Eukaryota; Metazoa; Chordata; Actinopteri; Esociformes; Esocidae
Exons: 2
Source: RefSeq, a predicted model, not a curated record